Molecule: ribosomal RNA, 253 nt
Filed under: uncultured bacterium
Lineage: Bacteria
Description: partial 16S ribosomal RNA
Rfam family: Bacterial small subunit ribosomal RNA
Source: RNAcentral
UACGAAGGGGGCUAGCGUUGCUCGGAAUCACUGGGCGUAAAGCGCACGUAGGCGGCUUUUUAAGUCAGGGGUGAAAUCCUGGAGCUCAACUCCAGAACUGCCUUUGAUACUGAGGAUCUUGAGUCCGGGAGAGGUGAGUGGAACUGCGAGUGUAGAGGUGAAAUUCGUAGAUAUUCGCAAGAACACCAGUGGCGAAGGCGGCUCACUGGCCCGGUACUGACGCUGAGGCACGAAAGCGUGGGGAGCAAACAGG